CUCUUCGCUUUUACUUCAGUUUGAAUGAUGCAGGUGAGUGCUAGUGUUUGAAUGAUGCAGGUGAGUGCUAGUGUUUGAAUGAUGCAGGUGAGUGCUAAUGUUUGAAUGAUGCAGGUGAGUGCUAGUGUUUAAAUAAUGAAGGUGAGUGCUAGUGUUUGAAUGAUGCAGGUGAGUGCUAGUGUUUGAAUGAUGCAGGUGAGUGCUAAUGUUUGAAUGAUGCAGGUGAGUGCUAAUGUUUGAAUGAUGCAGGUGAGUGCUAAUGUUUGAAUGAUGCAGGUGAGUGCUAGUGUUUGAAUGAUGCAGGUGAGUGCUAGUGUUUGAAUGAUGCAGGUGAGUGCUAGUGUUUGAAUGAUGCAGGUGAGUGCUAGUGUUUGAACGAUGCAUGUGAGUGCUAGUGUUUGAAUGAUGCAGGUGAGCGCU
Patiria miniata (bat star) is the source of this 420-nucleotide long non-coding RNA. RefSeq lists it as uncharacterized. The record is from RefSeq and is a predicted model, not a curated record. The transcript is spliced from 4 exons. NCBI's taxonomy places the organism in Eukaryota, Metazoa, Echinodermata, Asteroidea, Valvatida, Asterinidae.